GACGAACGCUGGCGGCGUGCUAACCCCUUCAAGUCGAACGGAAAGGCCCCGCUUUUGGUGGGGUCCCGAGGGGCCAACGGGGGAAUAAACCGGGAGUUACCUUGCCCUUACUUUUGGGUUACUUUCAGGAACCUGGGGCUAUUCCCGGUAGGGGCUCCUUCCGGAUUGUUGGGGGUUGGAAGUUUCGGCGGUUGGGGAUGGACUCGCGGCUUAUCAGCUUGUUGGUGGGGUAGUGGCUUACCAAGGCCUUGACGGGUAGCCGGCCUGGGAGGGUGACCGGCCACAUUGGGACUGAGAUACGGCCCAGACUCCUACGGGAGGCAGCAGUGGGGAAUAUUGCACAAUGGGCGGAAGCCUGAUGCAGCAACGCCGCGUGCGGGAUGACGGCCUUCGGGUUGUAAACCGCUUUCGCCUGUGACGAAGCGUGAGUGACGGUAAUGGGUAAAGAAGCACCGGCUAACUACGUG
This 467-nucleotide ribosomal RNA is filed under the name uncultured bacterium. RNAcentral's name for it is "partial 16S ribosomal RNA". It matches the Rfam family "Bacterial small subunit ribosomal RNA", at positions 28 to 507 of the family's 1533-position model. The record is from RNAcentral.